RNAcentral lists this transfer RNA (71 nucleotides) under Bos taurus (domestic cattle). It matches the Rfam family "tRNA". From Rfam's summary of the family: Transfer RNA (tRNA) molecules are approximately 80 nucleotides in length. Lineage: Eukaryota; Metazoa; Chordata; Mammalia; Artiodactyla; Bovidae. RNAcentral also lists the same sequence under 4 other names. The record is from Rfam by way of RNAcentral.
UCCCUUGUGGCUUAGCAGGUAAAGAAUCUGCCUGCAAUGCGGGAGACCUGGGUUCAAUCCCUGCGUUGGGA